RNAcentral lists this ribosomal RNA (399 nucleotides) under Xanthomonas citri pv. citri. RNAcentral's name for it is "partial 23S ribosomal RNA". It matches the Rfam family "Bacterial large subunit ribosomal RNA", at positions 1 to 430 of the family's 2925-position model. Lineage: Bacteria; Pseudomonadati; Pseudomonadota; Gammaproteobacteria; Lysobacterales; Lysobacteraceae. The record is from RNAcentral.
GGGUUGUGAGGUUAAGCGACUAAGCGUACACGGUGGAUGCCCUGGCAGUCAGAGGCGAUGAAGGACGUGCUAAUCUGCGAUAAGCGUCGGUAAGGUGAUAUGAACCGUUAUAACCGGCGAUUUCCGAAUGGGGAAACCCAGUGUGUUUCGACACACUAUCAUUAACUGAAUCCAUAGGUUAAUGAGGCGAACCGGGGGAACUGAAACAUCUAAGUACCCCGAGGAAAAGAAAUCAACCGAGAUUCCCCCAGUAGCGGCGAGCGAACGGGGAGCAGCCCAGAGCCUGAAUCAGUGUGUGUGUUAGUGGAAGCGUCUGGAAAGGCGCGCGAUACAGGGUGACAGCCCCGUACACAAAAAUGCACAUGCUGUGAGCUCGAUGAGUAGGGCGGGACACGUGGU